Molecule: ribosomal RNA, 614 nt
Filed under: Morchella australiana
Lineage: Eukaryota; Fungi; Ascomycota; Pezizomycetes; Pezizales; Morchellaceae
Description: eukaryotic LSU rRNA
Rfam family: Eukaryotic large subunit ribosomal RNA
Source: RNAcentral
UUGACCUCGGAUCAGGUAGGGAUACCCGCUGAACUUAAGCAACCAACAGGGAUUGCCUCAGUAACGGCGAGUGAAGCGGCAAAAGCUCAAAUUUUAAAGCUGACAUCUUCGGUGUCCGCGUUGUAAUUUUGUGAGGCAUCUCCGGGUAGGGCGCCGGCCUAAGUUCCUUGGAACAGGACGUCACAGAGGGUGAGAAUCCCGUGCUUGGCUGGCUGUCCCCGUCCAUGUGAGGUGUCUUCGACGAGUCGAGUUGUUUGGGAAUGCAGCUCAAAAUGGGUGGUAAAUUUCAUCUAAAGCUAAAUAUUGGUGGGAGACCGAUAGCGCACAAGUAGAGUGAUCGAAAGAUGAAAAGCACUUUGAAAAUAGAGUUAAAAAGUACGUGAAAUUGUUGAAAGGGAAGCGCUUGAGACCAGACUUCGGUAAGGGGUGAUCAGCCGUCCUUCUGGGCGGUGCACUUGCCCCCCUCCGGGCCAGCAUCGGUUGAGGCGGCGGGAUAAAGGUCCCGGGAAUGUGGCUCCUUCACGGGAGUGUUAUAGCCCGGGUGAAUGCCGCCAGCUUCGACCGAGGACCGCACCCGCAAGGGUUAGGAUGCUUGGCAUAAUGGUCUUCAGCGA